GCCUACGGGGCGCAGCAGUGAGGAAUAUUGGUCAAUGGGCGAGAGCCUGAACCAGCCAAGUCGCGUGAAGGAUGACGGCCCUACGGGUUGUAAACUUCUUUUGUCAGGGAGCAAUUGAGUCCACGUGUGGUCUUAGCGAGAGUACCUGAAGAAAAAGCAUCGGCUAACUCCGUGCCAGCAGCCGCGGUAAUACGGAGGAUGCGAGCGUUAUCCGGAUUUAUUGGGUUUAAAGGGAGCGUAGGCCGGUCUUUAAGCGUGCCGUGAAAUUUUGUGGCUCAACCAUGAGAGGGCGGCGCGAACUGGAG
Molecule: ribosomal RNA, 305 nt
Filed under: uncultured bacterium
Lineage: Bacteria
Description: bacterial SSU rRNA
Rfam family: Bacterial small subunit ribosomal RNA
Source: RNAcentral